This 250-nucleotide ribosomal RNA is filed under the name uncultured bacterium. Its description in RNAcentral is "partial 16S ribosomal RNA". It matches the Rfam family "Bacterial small subunit ribosomal RNA", at positions 524 to 773 of the family's 1533-position model. The record is from RNAcentral.
UACGAAGGGUGCAAGCGUUACUCGGAAUUACUGGGCGUAAAGCGUGCGUAGGUGGUUCGUUAAGUCUGAUGUGAAAGCCCUGGGCUCAACCUGGGAAUGGCAUUGGAUACUGGCGGGCUGGAGUGCGGUAGAGGGUAGUGGAAUUCCCGGUGUAGCAGUGAAAUGCGUAGAGAUCGGGAGGAACAUCUGUGGCGAAGGCGACUGCCUGGACCAGCACUGACACUGAGGCACGAAAGCGUGGGGAGCAAAC